This 503-nucleotide ribosomal RNA is filed under the name uncultured bacterium. RNAcentral describes it as "bacterial SSU rRNA". It matches the Rfam family "Bacterial small subunit ribosomal RNA", at positions 28 to 521 of the family's 1533-position model. The record is from RNAcentral.
GACGAACGCUGGCGGCGUGGAUUAGGCAUGCAAGUCGAACGGUAUCAUCCUUUCGGGGGUGAGAGAGUGGCGAACUGGUGAGUAACACGUAGGUUAUCUACCCUCAAGACGGGGACAACCCAGGGAAACUUGGGCUAAUACCGGAUGUGAGCAACUUUUAGUUGUUUGAAAGGUGGCGUAAGCUGUCGCUUGGGGAUGAGCCUGCGUCCUAUUAGUUAGUUGGUGAGGUAACGGCUCACCUAGGCAAUGAUAGGUAGGCGGCCUUAACGGGUGGUCGCCCACACUGGGAUUGAGAUACGGCCCAGACUCCUACGGGAGGCAGCAGUCGAGAAUAGUCUACAAUGGUCGGAAGACUGAUAGUGCGACGCCGCGUGAACGAUGAAUCCCGUUCGGGUGUAAAGUUCUUUUAUAUGUGAGCAGUGCUUCUUAUAUUAACAGUAGUGGGGAGAGAGAUAUUAGCAUAUGAAUAAGCAACGGCUAACUCCGUGCCAGCAGCCGACGGU